GACGAACGCUGGCGGCGUGCUUAACACAUGCAAGUCGAACGGAAAGGCCCCAGCUUGCUGGAGUACUCGAGUGGCGAACGGGUGAGUAACACGUGGGUAAUCUGCCCUGCACUCUGGGAUAAGCCUGGGAAACUGGGUCUAAUACUGGAUAUGACCUUUCUCCUUAUGGGGUUUGGUGGAAAGUUUUUCGGUGUAGGAUGAGCCCGCGGCCUAUCAGCUUGUUGGUGGGGUGAUGGCCUACCAAGGCGACGACGGGUAGCCGGCCUGAGAGGGUGAUCGGCCACAUUGGGACUGAGAUACGGCCCAGACUCCUACGGGAGGCAGCAGUGGGGAAUAUUGCACAAUGGGCGGAAGCCUGAUGCAGCGACGCCGCGUGAGGGAUGACGGCCCUCGGGUUGUAAACCUCUUUCAGCAGGGACGAAGCGUAAGUGACGGUACCUGCAGAAGAAGCACCGGCUAACUAUGUG
Molecule: ribosomal RNA, 467 nt
Filed under: uncultured bacterium
Lineage: Bacteria
Description: partial 16S ribosomal RNA
Rfam family: Bacterial small subunit ribosomal RNA
Source: RNAcentral